CCGGUGUGUGUGUUUGUGUGUUUGUUGUGAAAUCGACAGCUGUGGAAGUUUUUUAUUACUAUUUUUUCCCCCCCAGAAAAAUAAUCACGUAAGUGUGCUGAUACGUGACCCCAAAUCUUACUUGUAUAAAUUCCAGAGCACGUGUUUGGGACGGGGAUGUUAAAAAAAAAUUCAAACACACACACGCACACACACACACUCACACACACACCGCCCAUCUGAGAGGGUGUGGCUCUUGCGUGCUGUUCAAAAGGAGGCGGAGUUCUUGAGAAUGCUGCCAGGCGAUUGGUGGACGGAGUCAGCUAUAUGGUGUGUACCUGAGACAGGAGUGAAGAUGGCGGGUCAGGUGAGGACGUGUGCGAAUUUAAAAAAUACAAAAAUAAAUAAAUAAGGAGGAAACAUGCAGACCUUCAGAGUUUCACCGCAAACGCCCUUCGAGUGGAAGGACGUCUCCCAGACGCGCCGUGCGUCCACUCAUCCAUGCUUCCUAUCCUUCAUUCCACCGGAGUCUGUGUGUCUGAGCAAUCAGAUUUCAGUGGUGUGAAGAAUACGAGACAUGGGCCUGCCCUCCUCCUCCUCCUCCUCCUCCUCUUCCUCUUCCUCAUCAUCAUCAUCAUCAUCAUCACCACCACCACUCACAUGUUUAAUUAAAACUUGUUAAAAAUGUAAAUGUGCUUCAUUGAUUACACUCAUUUUGUAAUAUAGUCAUUUAAUUAGUUCAUUUUAGCUGAUUAAAGAGUAAAUGAGUAAAUUUUUGAGUAAAGCUUUAGUGAACCUUUAACAGGGGGGCGUGUCUACGCAGGACAAAAAAAUAAAGAUGAAAAAUAAGACACUGUCAGUUUCGAUCUGUGAUCCGAGAGAGGAAACACUCUCCGAGAAGUGUGCACUAAUCAGGGCCUGUCACUAAUUUCACCGUUCAUUAAUUACACUCAAACCACAUUAUUAUUAUUAUUAUUAUUAUUAUUAUUAUUAUUAUUAUUAUUAUGUCUACUACAUCUAUUUAUGUAGCACUUUUUUAAACAAUUAUCUAUGAAUUAACUAUACUUGUGUGUAUAUAUA
Molecule: long non-coding RNA, 1059 nt
Organism: Ictalurus punctatus (channel catfish)
Lineage: Eukaryota; Metazoa; Chordata; Actinopteri; Siluriformes; Ictaluridae
Source: Ensembl